GCCCGCUUGGCUCAGUGGUAGAGCGUGUCACUAGUAAUAACAAGGUCGUCAGUUCAAUUCUAGCAGUGGGCA
Cercophora newfieldiana is the source of this 72-nucleotide non-coding RNA. The record is from the annotation of a GenBank genome assembly. Lineage: Eukaryota; Fungi; Ascomycota; Sordariomycetes; Sordariales; Lasiosphaeriaceae.